Molecule: long non-coding RNA, 199 nt
Organism: Hibiscus syriacus
Lineage: Eukaryota; Viridiplantae; Streptophyta; Magnoliopsida; Malvales; Malvaceae
Exons: 3
Source: RefSeq, a predicted model, not a curated record
UGAAGCUUAACAGCCAAGUGUCCAUAGUAGAAAAUAUCUAGGGAGAGUCAAGAGUUUAACAGCCUUGUUCUCCUUAACCAGACAAAAUAGGGUGUUUUCUUGCCCAAGAGAGGCUUCAAAUUACACUCGGGAGCUCAUAGCUUAACCGCCUUGCUUCCAACAAAAAGAUUGUCCGAAUAAGUAUCGGGGAAGAAAGCCA